Epinephelus lanceolatus (giant grouper) is the source of this 580-nucleotide non-coding RNA. Lineage: Eukaryota; Metazoa; Chordata; Actinopteri; Perciformes; Serranidae. The record is from RefSeq and is a predicted model, not a curated record.
GACACUGAAUGGCGUGUGGGUCGGACGCUAGCCACACUAAAUGGAGGAUGAGUGCCCUGCAGGAUCUGCAAUCCCAACCCUUACCCGGCAGGCAGUCACGUGCGCCACCUGGAAGAGAUGUUCAGUCGGCUCCAUCAGCAUGGAUUGAAGUUACAGCUGAAAAAGUGUCGCCUGUUCCAAUGAGAGGUCACUUAGCUGGGACAUGUCAUCAGUGAGAGGGGAGUGGGUACUGACCCAGCAAAGACAACUGCAGCACGAGACUGGCCAGUGCCCUAGACGGUAAAGCAGAUGUCUAGACCUCUUAACCUCCCACCCAGAUACAAAAUCCUGCAGGAUACACCAGGUGUGAAACACAACCUAGGGGGUCGGAGCCAAUACUUGCAGCAGACAAAAGAGUGUCAAAACACUGGGUAGGGGCACCGCUCCCUGCCGCAGACAGAAGGGUGUGAAACACAUCCUAAGAGGCGGUCCUCAGGUAUAAAUGUUUAAGCUUUCCCAUGCUCGGGGUCUUUCUUCAUUCUGACCGCUCGUGUGCUGAUUGACCUUUUCUUUGCAAAGAAAAUAAAAAACCUUGUCGGCC